AGGUAGAAUGGCCGAGUGUUAGGCGGCAGGCUGUAAUCCUGCCCACACGGGUUUAAGCCCCGUUUCUUC
This 69-nucleotide transfer RNA is filed under the name Hoplodactylus sp. Okarito. Its description in RNAcentral is "tRNA-Tyr". It matches the Rfam family "tRNA". Rfam says of the family: Transfer RNA (tRNA) molecules are approximately 80 nucleotides in length. Their secondary structure includes four short double-helical elements and three loops (D, anti-codon, and T loops). The record is from RNAcentral. Lineage: Eukaryota; Metazoa; Chordata; Lepidosauria; Squamata; Diplodactylidae.